CAGGCUUAACACAUGCAAGUCGAGGGGCAGCAUGGUCUUAGCUUGCUAAGGCCGAUGGCGACCGGCGCACGGGUGAGUAACACGUAUCCAACCUGCCGUCUACUCUUGGACAGCCUUCUGAAAGGAAGAUUAAUACAAGAUGGCAUCAUGAGUCCGCAUGUUCACAUGAUUAAAGGUAUUCCGGUAGACGAUGGGGAUGCGUUCCAUUAGAUAGUAGGCGGGGUAACGGCCCACCUAGUCUUCGAUGGAUAGGGGUUCUGAGAGGAAGGUCCCCCACAUUGGAACUGAGACACGGUCCAAACUCCUACGGGAGGCAGCAGUGAGGAAUAUUGGUCAAUGGGCGCAGGCCUGAACCAGCCAAGUAGCGUGAAGGAUGACUGCCCUAUGGGUUGUAAACUUCUUUUAUAAAGGAAUAAAGUCGGGUAUGGAUACCCGUUUGCAUGUACUUUAUGAAUAAGGAUCGGCUAACUCCGUGCCAGCAGCCGCGGUAAUACGGAGGAUCCGAGCGUUAUCCGGAUUUAUUGGGUUUAAAGGGAGCGUAGAUGGAUGUUUAAGUCAGUUGUGAAAGUUUGCGGCUCAACCGUAAAAUUGCAGUUGAUACUGGAUAUCUUGAGUGCAGUUGAGGCAGGCGGAAUUCGUGGUGUAGCGGUGAAAUGCUUAGAUAUCACGAAGAACUCCGAUUGCGAAGGCAGCCUGCUAAGCUGCAACUGACAUUGAGGCUCGAAAGUGUGGGUAUCAAACAGGAUUAGAUACCCUGGUAGUCCACACGGUAAACGAUGAAUACUCGCUGUUUGCGAUAUACGGCAAGCGGCCAAGCGAAAGCGUUAAGUAUUCCACCUGGGGAGUACGCCGGCAACGGUGAAACUCAAAGGAAUUGACGGGGGCCCGCACAAGCGGAGGAACAUGUGGUUUAAUUCGAUGAUACGCGAGGAACCUUACCCGGGCUUAAAUUGCAGAUGAAUUACGGUGAAAGCCGUAAGCCGCAAGGCAUCUGUGAAGGUGCUGCAUGGUUGUCGUCAGCUCGUGCCGUGAGGUGUCGGCUUAAGUGCCAUAACGAGCGCAACCCUUGUUGUCAGUUACUAACAGGUUCCGCUGAGGACUCUGACAAGACUGCCAUCGUAAGAUGUGAGGAAGGUGGGGAUGACGUCAAAUCAGCACGGCCCUUACGUCCGGGGCUACACACGUGUUACAAUGGGGGGUACAGAGGACCGCUACCACGCGAGUGGAUGCCAAUCCCAAAAACCUCUCUCAGUUCGGACUGGAGUCUGCAACCCGACUCCACGAAGCUGGAUUCGCUAGUAAUCGCGCAUCAGCCACGGCGCGGUGAAUACGUUCCCGGGCCUUGUACACACCGCCCGUCAAGCCAUGGGAGCCGGGGGUACCUGAAGUGCGUAACCGCGAGGAGCGCCCUAGGGUAAAACUGGUGACUGGGGC
RNAcentral lists this ribosomal RNA (1434 nucleotides) under uncultured organism. Its description in RNAcentral is "16S ribosomal RNA". It matches the Rfam family "Bacterial small subunit ribosomal RNA". The record is from RNAcentral.